RNAcentral lists this long non-coding RNA (753 nucleotides) under Hordeum vulgare. Its description in RNAcentral is "long non-coding RNA (HVUL_LNC017367)". The record is from RNAcentral. Lineage: Eukaryota; Viridiplantae; Streptophyta; Magnoliopsida; Poales; Poaceae.
CACAACCUACUGAACAUCAACUGCAAACAUAGAAACUUGCCCCACAACCUACUAAACAUCAACUGAAAAAACAGAGCCACAUUGCCCCGGUUUGUCACUGAAUUGUCCACUGUAAGUAGUAGCAUUGCCUACUUUUCAUGAACCGCGGGUGAGAACCUUGCCUACUUCUGCAGGAAACCAAAAGCUACAAAAGUGUUCACUGUAAGUGGUAACAUUUCCUACUCAAUGAGGUUGGGAUCAUCAUGCAGGGAUAGGAAACCCUGAAAAAACACUACAGAUUAGCCUGUGAAAUAGUGAAGUGAGAACAUUGCCUAUAAAACAAAACUUGCUUGUGAAUGAAUAGGUACAGAUUUGCACGCAAAAUCUGCAAAAAAUGCCCACUGUAACCUGAAAUUUGCUUACCUAUGGAAAACAAACCUACAUCAUAUAAAACACCUGUCAUGGGAUCGAUUCCUUGCUUGCGAUUCACUACAGAAAAAAUGGCGCAAGAAAAAUACUUCUAUGCUUGAUAUCAAAAUCGAAAAUCAGUUUAGGUUGGUAUUUUGCGCACAGGCUUGGCCGGGGCAUCGAUUCCCGUCUCCUUACUCCUCUGCCGUCAUCCUCGCUGUCCCCGUCCUUGCCGUCCCCCCGCUCAUCCAUGUAGAUGACGCCGCCGUGUCGGCCGAACACCUCCCCUGCCUCCCCCCUAGUUAGCGAAAAUUGGGUGAAAAUGGUGAAGGAGUAGGGCGUGUGACUUACCUACUCUCUCCUGAC